UGGGGAAUAUUGCGCAAUGGGGGGAACCCUGACGCAGCCAUGCCGCGUGAAUGAAGAAGGCCUUAGGGUUGUAAAGUUCUUUCGGUAUUGAGGAGGGUUGAUGUGUUAAUAGCACAUCAAAUUGACGUUAAAUACAGAAGAAGCACCGGCUAACUCCGUGCCAGCAGCCGCGGUAAUACGGAGGGUGCGAGCGUUAAUCGGAAUAACUGGGCGUAAAGGGCACGCAGGCGGUUAUUUAAGUGAGGUGUGAAAGCCCUGGGCUUAACCUAGGAAUUGCAUUUCAGACUGGGUAACUAGAGUACUUUAGGGAGGGGUAGAAUUCCACGUGUAGCGGUGAAAUGCGUAGAGAUGUGGAGGAAUACCGAAGGCGAAGGCAGCCCCUUGGGAAUGUACUGACGCUCAUGUGCGAAAGCGUGGGGAGCAAACAGGAUUAGAUACCCUGGUAGUCCACGCUGUAAACGCUGUCGAUUUGGGGGUUGGGGUUUAACUCUGGCGCCCGUAGCUAACGUGAUAAAUCGACCGCCUGGGGAGUACGGCCGCAAGGUUA
RNAcentral lists this ribosomal RNA (547 nucleotides) under uncultured bacterium. RNAcentral describes it as "bacterial SSU rRNA". It matches the Rfam family "Bacterial small subunit ribosomal RNA", at positions 355 to 896 of the family's 1533-position model. The record is from RNAcentral.